UCUGGCUGUAUAAAUACCACUCCUACGUCCCCUUUCUCCUCACCCUCUCGCCAUAUUUCUUCUUCCUCUCUUCCUCUGAUCUGCUCCUUCCUCUCUUUACCUAUGCACGUGCAGAAGAAUCCGUCAAGCUCAGGAGGGAUAGCGCCACGGUUGAACCUCACCCUUCCUCUGUGUCGUCGUUCUCCUCCUUGCGCUAUCCAUCCUGAGUUUCAUGGUUUCUUCAUGCUCUCUCCCUUUCUUCUUCCUCGUCACAUCCUCUAGAAGUUGAAGACGAUUUCACUUUCAGGGGACUGUUCAUCCAACAACUGGGCCUGCAUAUACUGCUUGCACCUUUUUGGAGGAGCUGCUUGGCGUCGUCUUCAUUCAGUGAGCAAUAAAAUAAUUGAAUAAUAAAAUGAAAAUGGAUGGUCGUCACGUGGGUUGAUCGGGGAAGAGAUAUGUGAUAUACUAUCUGUUGAAUUGCUUGCUGAUUGUUGACUUAGACUGCCCCGAGUCCCAACUUCGUGUACGUCACGCCAUGACACUGCGUUUCUCAAUUAUUUACUUUCCCUCACUUCAACCUCUCCAGCCCCUUCCUUCUCCUCUAACCUUUAUUAAACACCAAAUCAGAUAUUGAACUCUUCAAUAUAUAUUAAAUUGGUUAUAAAUAAAAUAUUUUAAUUUAUCAA
This is a long non-coding RNA of Prosopis cineraria, 668 nucleotides long. RefSeq lists it as uncharacterized. The transcript has 2 exons. The record is from RefSeq and is a predicted model, not a curated record. Lineage: Eukaryota; Viridiplantae; Streptophyta; Magnoliopsida; Fabales; Fabaceae.